GGCUCUGCUCGCUCUGCUCGCAGCAACAGUAUGUAAAUGCGAUGAUGGAUUGGUGUUUUGAGAAAGCAGCUCCUCCAGUUGUGGCCUGAUGGCACUCAUCAAGAGCUGCUCUGCAUUUUAACUGAGAAGGCAGCAGUCACUUAGAGCAGAAAUAUUGCUGCACGUGGCCGUGCGUAUGGAUGUGCGGUGGUGCCAGGCGUGCUCGGAGGGCACUGCUUGCAGGGCAGCACAGCCACAGCUCCGCCGUCUGAUGACAGCCCGUGCAUACAGAAUGGGAGAAUUGGAGAAUAUAAACAAAACGGGAUGGAGGCUUCUGCCACAUCACGUUAGGGGACGCAUCUGUGAGGGAUGCAAUGCUUGGAUUAUUUUGCGGAUGGUCACAUUACUGCUCUGAAUACAUCCUUUUUCCUUCAAGCCAUAAACUCUGGUGUUGGAGCAGAGAGCAGCAGUGCCCCCUCCACUUCCAGCCAGACCUGAGUGCCUGCUUUCCUAGCAGCAGAGGAACAGAGCAGUGCUGCAGGGCGGCCCUACACUGCCCUGCCUGGUGCUGAGCUGCCAGUCCGGUGUGUAGCCUGCAAUAUUGGCAAGACAGCAUUAAUGAAGCAGUUCAGUAUGGUCACCAGGGAGGAGACAGCACGGUUCUUCUCAAGGGGAAGGAGGGACCUACUUGCUGUUCUUGCUGCCCUGUGCUCUGCUUUCUCUUGCUGUGUUGCCCAGCCCUCGUCCUUCUGGGAGCCCAGGCAGAUAAUCUUUCUGCAAUAAGCUGAUAUUCAAACAGAAAGAGUUCACUCCUGAACUGCCCCAAUAUUUGAGAAAGGUUUUACAGUGAAAUAGGUUUUUUCUGAGUCUCAUUAUUGGCCCGGUGGCUGUGUGUGUGCGCACGCAUGGCCAGCACACUGAGAAGGGCAAUACCAACAGAAUGAAAAGGUCAUAGUUAUAUAAAAAUCCUUUUAAAACUAAAUAGCCCUGGCACACUAAAUUCCCUGUGGAUACUCAGCAGUUGAGAACUGAGAGAGUCAGGGCAUUCAGAAGGUCGAAUUCUGCAUCUGCAAAUGCCUGGUGGAAGCCAGGAGCAGUCUGCAGCUGUGGUCAGCCUGAGCCACCCCCAGUCCAUGGGAGAAGCAGAGGAAGGAGCCCCACGGAGCUCAGUGUGCAGGAAAAAGGUACAGCUUGUACCAGAAGGAUUGCACAGAGCCUGCCCAAAGCAGAGCGAAGGUUGGUCUCGCUUGUGCUGUGCCUCUCAGAAAGACAAAACCACCGGGUGACCAGACUGGCUUUGAGGACAGGGGCUCCCGAAGGCAGAGAAGCUGUCUUUGUGUUUGAGGAGUCUGCUAAUUUGCUCUCCCUAAUUACUUUUUGAUUCAUACUAACUCUCAGGAUCUGGAGCGUCCUGCUGCAGAGUCCCUUAUAUGAGAUGGAAAAGCACCUCUGAACCCUUCGCCCUUCUUUCUCAUGAAGGGAGCAGGCAUCCCUGUUCGUCAUCAUCAUGGCUUUAUUGAUCUCUGUUGUGUCUGCUUUGCCCAUCCCUUGCCCCAUCCAAUGUCCCCACGUGAAGUCCAUCUGCUGUCCACCCUGCCUCGUGCCUGCCCAGCUCUGCUCUGCCUGCUGGGCUGCUGCAGGUGGGUAAUUUGGGCUGCAUGAGGCAUUCCCUGUGCAGGAGUUUGUGGACUUUUUCAGGGGCACAAUUAUGCUUUCCAUAUGUUUCCGUAUUCCUACUAACCUGUUAGCAUUCUUAAUAGCAACCGAGUGCCAGGCAAACAACUUCAUAGCACCUAGGGACGUGGUGUAGUGGUAAUAUUGGUGGCAGGUGGAUGGUUGGACUAGGUGAUCUUACAGAGGUCUUUUCCAACCUUAAUGACUCCGUGAUUUUCCAAUGUUCUGCAGUUGUUUUCUGUUCUUACUGCCCUGCGUAACUUCGUCUCAUUGGCAUCCCUGGGGCCCAUGACUCUGUGGCUCACAGCAUUCCCUGCAGGUGUGGGACCACGAGGUGGUGAAAUAAACCAAAGUGUUUAUAAUGGCUGUGAAAAUUUAAUUUUUAUUAUCUGUUCACUGUAUACAAAACACCAUUCUGCAUAGUGAUAACUCAUUUGUUGUACAGUUGACAGUGCACAUCAACAAACAAGUGUCGGAGGUAUACACUCAAUGAGGAGGGCAGUGGUGGCCGGGGUGAUGCUGGGAUGGAGGAGCACCUCACAACCACUCAUGUAUGAGUAAUAGAAAUGGGAUAGGAAGCAUUUACCAACGAACCAAAUCAGUAUGGAUGAGGAUGAAGAGACAGAGCAGGAUUCAUGUAUCCGAUACACAACUUCCAGAGUGAUUCAGAAGGGUUACGGAGGCGGCUGAGAAGGGUCUGUAUUUUUUCCAAACACUUCCAUCUUUAAAGUUGCUAAAAUUUAGUGAUAAAUAACAGAAUCUCACAAAUAUUUUGGGGCAAAAUGCUCCACAUUUAUUUACAUACGAAAUGUGUUUAAUACAGUCGUAAUGGACGUAGUGUAUAGUAACAUCUGACAGCAGCAAGACUUUUAAGGAACCGAACAAUUACUACCGUAUAUCAUGCAGCUAUCUAUAUGUACAAGAUUUGUUUCUUUUUUUUCUUAAAAAAAAAAAAAGAAAGAAAAAAGAAAAGAAAAAAAGUAGAAAAAGGUCUUCUAGGGAUUCGUACAAGGUAUAAAAUGCAAAAAGAAAACAAAAAAUGUAACUCUCACAGAGAACCACAUACGAAAGGGACAGCGCGGUACCUUUCUGCACCCGGUGAAAGCUCACCAGUGGUGUUGGAUGCACUUUGAAGCUCUGUGAGGUCUGUGCUAGAGGUGAAGUGCCAGUCGUACCCACGUGGGCUGGUGUGGUGCGUUUGCUCCUCGACGGCUGUGGUUGAACACUGAGCACCGGGACAUUUGGCAUUAGCAAACAGAGCUGGGAAACGCCAACCCCGGCAGCAAGGGUUGGCUCUGUUCUUUUGAUAACCAGAGAUAAAGGAAAAUACUUAAUGCUGCGUAAUCACUUCUAUAAUGUUUAAUAAAUUACAUAACAAAAAAAAAAAAAACCAAAAACCAACAAAAAACACACAAAAAAACAUCAUUAUAAUGAUAAACCUAUGCCUCUAAUUACAUCUUACUUGUUUAAUCCAGAGCAGCCCAGCCCUUUUAUAACUAUUGGAGCUUUGACCACAAGCACCUGAUGGCUACAAAUUACUUCAUGAUACAUAUACAUAUAUAUAUAUAUAUAUACUUGUGCAAUUAUGCAUGUCAGAAGUACGUGAUCCCCUGAGGUGUCUGCACCUGUUCUGGUGUCAGCACCUCAACCAGCACUGCACUUUACAUGUGCAGGGACAUUGUUUUUGGAGAGAAAGUCUGAAAGCUUCCUGCCACAAGCAGAAUCAUCCAGAGUCCUGCAGGAUGUGGCAUAUCCCCUUGGCUUCCUUGCUUUUUCUUCCCUCCAGGCGCUGCCUUCGGUUGUGUUCCCAUUUGCUAAAUGUUCUGUCAGAAGCAUUCACGUAAGAAACGGUUUAAGAGACCCCAGGAAACUUCCCCAGCAUUAAGAACUCUGUUUUAGAGAAACUUACUACAAAAACAAACAAACAAACCAGAAAACGAAACGAAACAAACAAAAAAUUUCCACUAGAUACCAAUACAAACACGUAACAAAGAGUAUAAAAGUUAUUAGUUUAAAUAUAUACAAACUCUUUUCAACUCAAAUACUGCUUCAAUGGUUCCGAGGGUAUAGACAAUGAGGUGAGGGGGACGUCGUUAUGCAGAAUAUAUUGCAACAGCCUGAACAGUACUGUUAGCACUAUUAUACCUUGAACUUUCUGUAACAAAAACGUCAUUACUAUUCCAAUGUGGAGAGAGAUUUCCAUGUCCCAACGCUCCGAUCACUUUUCAGCCGAGCUCAUCCUUUUUGACUUGAUGAAGGCCAUGCCGUGUGUUCUCAUGUGAGUAUUUAAGGCCGCUUCAGUUUCAAAAGUCUUUGCACACACUUUGCAUCUCCUGUCUGACACCGUGCUGUCGGUCGGUUCGUCCUCGUGGUUGGGUUUGUUCUCUUGCUGAUUAUCCUCCCCAGACCCGUUCUGCUUUGAGACUGGCUGCGGCUCCUUCAGCUUGUGUACGAUGAAGAGGUGCCUGGAGAGAGACACGUGAGAUGUGUAGCAGAGUCCACACUCCCUGCACUGGUACGAAGAGCCGUCAGAUUUAUGCUGAGGAAUGUGUUCGUGAAACUGGAGGAGAUUUUCGGUUGUGAAGCCGCAGACAGCACACUUGUGAACCUUAAAAACAUUGAUUUUUAGCUUCUUCAGUGGCUGUGUGAUUGCACCUCGGGGAGGCCUGAAUUCCAGGACAGGUUCUUCCAAUUUACGCUUUGGACUGGGAACCUAAAAAAAGUCGUAAACAGUAUUUCUGUAAGCAUAAAUACACAGUGACUGCAGUGGCGUGCCGAGCAAGCUCAAGGCUGGGCAUUUGGGAUAAGCUCACCGUGCUUCUGUGCAACCUGCAGCUUCUCUACAGCUAGGAGAGGACUUAGUUGCACAAGUUUUGAAAAGCAGAAAAGCAGAAUUUUAUGGGAUCAAAAUAUCUGCUUAAAGAUCCUGAAUGUACCCCCACAAAAACUCAGAGACUGAAUGAAUCUUCUAAGUGAUUACCUUUGCAUCUUCUUUCACUUCCCUUUCUUCCAUAUUAGUCGACUCAGUCAUUUCUUUGACAUCAGGGUCUUUAAUGCCGUGCAUCAACUGAAUAUGUUUUUCCAGCAUCAGCCGUUUGGUAAAGGUACGUCUUGAGUCUGGGCAAUGCCUGUAUAAACACAGAGCAAGCGUGCAGAGGCCCAAGUGUCACGCUCAGAAAGAGAUGUACUACUCUGAAGAAUGUGAACAGAGCUAGCAAGUAAGCGCAGACAAGUCCAACCUACUAACGAUAAUAUUGAAAGACAGCACUCUUCCAAUCAACUGCACGAGUAUUCUCAGAAUGGGAGAACAAUUACAAAACAGAACUACAGCUUGGAUUCACAGCAAGUGAGAGAAAAGCUCUCGUAAGACAAUACCCAAAGCAGUACAAAGUGUGGGAGCACGAGUUUGUUUCUUGUACCUCUCUUAAUGUAACUAAACUGUACAUUCAAUGAAACGCUUUGUCAAGUUCUCCCUAACUAAAUUUGAGCAAGAAAGCCAUCACUUUCCAUGAGGGAUGAAUGCUAGCUCCAGAGGAGUCUUAAUUCUGCACUCAACUCCAAAUUCUUUGUCUCCUUGGAGCUAGUCCAUGAGGCUGAGGUUAGGUUGGGUUAGUCUAACCUCAGUGCCUGGAGAAGUUAUGAAGAAGAAACACUCAAUUCACAACGUUUGCUGCUGGUUUACACUCUAUAUAUCUGGAAAAUAAAACAGAAGCAGUACUUACGAGCAUGUAUAAACCUUCCUAAUGCCUUUGUGCUUGAUGCGGUUGUGACGACAUAAACUAUGGGACGAGCUGAAAGAUUUGUCACACUGCCGACAAGGGUGUUUCUUCAUUUGCUUUAAAAGAAGAGGAACACAUUGAUUUUUUUAAAAGAAAGAGCUGAGUGGAAGUAGUCUGUGUGCCAAAACCUUCAGUAAUAGGAGAGAAACGUACUUACCAGUGUCUGUCACUUUUGUCAAGCACACAACAUUCCUACAGCAGCACUGCAGGAGCUACAUCUCUUUCAAAGCACACACUACCAAAGACUGCAAACAGAAACCAUGGGCUGCAGGUGAAGUGAAGCUCUUCCAUCAAAGAGGCAAGGGAGAUUGGGGGGCAAUUUCUGGAUUGGCAAAAGCAGAAUGAGCAGAGAUGUGCUUUACCAUAAGGCCACCUUUCCUUUCCCAUUGCCUAAUAACUUCUGAAGCUGCUGACCAAGAGGUUACCAUCACCCACAAGACGAGGGGUGAUAAGGACCAAAGCAAAGCAUCACGAAUACUGAUGUGCCAACAAGGCUCAGAGAAGUCACAAGGAAAUGCGGGAUACAGUCUGAUGCCAACCUGAGGAACCCCUGUUUGGGGAAUUCUAUGUGUUUUUUAAUCACUCUUUGUUAUGUGGAAGGAGAAAGAAAAGGAAGGAAGGUAAAAAGUAUGGAACAGUCUCCAUCUAUGCCAUUCCAGCUGAACACAGCCACUGGAGCUCUAGUAUCUGAAGAAAUGAUGUCUCCAAAACUGUGAACUAUAAAAGCCCCAAGAACAAAUGACACAGUCCUACGCUUUAGGUCUUAGUAGCUUAUUAGCACAUCGAAAUCUUAGAGCUCAGUCCAAAUUGGCCCAUCUUAUCAUAGUUGCAGCAAGGAAACUGAAAUAUUCCCAAUCAAAUCUCCUGCCUUCUACAGUUAAAUAGAUUUUUCAAGCUCCUAUCUGUAAUUUUCUACCAUUCUGGUAGUAAUAAAGAAAUCAACAAAACAUCUUGAAAAUUAAAGCCAAACAGUGCCCAAACAGAUCUCAUUUAAGACUUUCUCAUAUUGCUAUCCAACAAUCCAGCUGGGGCCAGAGCCCCACGCUCAGCAUUCUGCACAACCACUCCUGCCAUAACCAGGGUGUACAAGGUCUGAAGAAGCUGGUCACUUGCACCCAGACUGCAAACAUUCUACACUGAGGAAGAGCUCUGCUUGCUGCCCAGGUAGAACUGCAGGAAUGGUCAGUUUCAUGUGAUCAGUCCAGUUAUCUAGAAGAAAAAAAACCCAUGUUCCCAGCCUUUUCCUGCCCUGGCAGAGAUGAGAGCUUUCCUUCAUAGCGUUGAUAACACUUUCCUUCCUGUAUCUCUUUGGGAAACUGAAAAAAAGCAAAUAAUGUAAUGUCAUUCUGCCGUUCCAGUUGGAGCCACUGAGCCAAUGAUUUGGAUCAGCACUUGGAAUUGGACCCUCCUUGACUCUUCUAGAGAAUCCAUACAAGAUACAUCCCUACGUUCCCAAGCAUUCAACAGCAAAGAUUUUCUUUGCAGAAGCAUGUUAAGGGCUUGGCUUGUUCUCAGCUUCUGAGGAAACGACAGAUUCCUACACAAUGGAGACAGGCAACAAUUCACAUGCAAAUUUUCAUGUGAUACAAGUCACUCUCUGGUGCCUAAUCUAAACUAAUAAUAAGAAAAACAAUUCUCAAUCCUAAAUAACACAUGGCUCAAGUCACAUGGAAAUGCUGAUGGAGAUGAGAGACCUUUCGCUAUCAAGAUCAACAUCACAGGAAACGUGGGGGAAGGAAAGAAGAGGAUUUCUGAAAGGUCACUGAUGCAGAUGGGAGGAAUCCCAUUAGGAAACAAGAUACGGUUAUCAUACUAGGGAUAGUCCUUUACAUAAUGCCCUUAGGGGCACAGUGCUCCUCAACAUAGAUUACUUUCUUUUCCUGUUUAAAGGCCAAUUAAAAAAAGAAUCAACACGUUCUUCUCUGAAAUUGUUGAAGUACAUACACACAGUGCAUCCUCAUUAAUGCUAAUGCAUUAAUCAGUACAAUUUGCAACAAGGUUUUGCAGUGUGCUUAUGACUGCAGUGCCCUGGGAUGAAUUUGCAGAAGCCUAAAACAAAAUGUGAAAGCAUAUUAUGAAAGAGAGGCAACAUCAUAACAGUAAUUCUCGUGCUUUAAGAUGGACGGGCUGCUUCCUCAGGGAUAGGAAGCCCUAUAGAUAGAAGGAAUAACCACAGGAUAAAGGCAGGAGAACGUGGGGAACCAUCACGUGGUGUGUGCAGGAAAAGCAAGUGCUGUGACUGGGAUAGCAACUGGAAUUUCUUUUAUGCACAAACACAUGGCAUGCAGCCCUGCUAAUAUGCAAGAUAUAUUUUUCUUUCAUUUUCUUUUAAUCAAAAGUCUGAAUGUUGUAUGUGUGAGGAUAUGGGUAUUAUGCCACUCUCUCAUGAACUCCCUUAGGACAGUGAACAACAGCCACAGCUUCCUACAGCGUGACAACAUCCCACUUAAAAAUACUACAGAGAUCAGCACAGAUAAAUAGCUCAACAACACAGCAAUCAGCCAUACUAAUUUUGAGUAUGGCUAAAAAGGUAUUUAGUAUUUUAAACAGAACAGGUGAAAUAAACCAGAUUUCAGGUGGACAGCAAGACCAACAAAGUAGGUGGUGCUGUAGCAACUGCUCAAGCUCUUACAUGCAUGCUGGUAGAGCUCUGAAACACUGCCUAGCAUGUGAGCACAAAGCAGGUCAGAUCAUCAGGCUGCUCCCAUUCAGCACCCCAUGAAACAGAAUGGUUAAUUUAAAUGAACCUUGCCACUUGCUAAUAUGCAAGUAUAAAGCAAUGGAAGAGACUAGAUAUGCUAUCAACUUCCACUGGAAUUCAAUGGAACUGGAGUGCUGUUCUAUUUACUUCUUAGAAAUACCUGUCCUUGAUACAUGAAGAGACCUAACCAAUGACCUUUAUGAUGCAGCUUUCCCUGUGGGACAUUUAUUCUGUAAUUAGGUGCUGCAGGAGCUGUUGCACAGCAUCUUGUCCUUAGCUACAGGAACAAGAGGAUGUUAAAUUAGUUUUACUGCCAGUUGGAACUGGUAAAGCAAUUCCUGCUUAGAAAACAUCUGCCCUUUCUCGGAAAGGCACUGAUGGAGAAAUCCUAAGAAGCUCAGCAUAUGUGUACCGGGCUGAGAUACACCAGAUUCAGCUUUGAGGCAGGAGCUGCACGGCUGUGUCAGUACCACCCUCUGUCUGGGAUAAUCACUUUUCUUUUCCAGAAACAGCAUUUAGGUAGAAUCACACCACGGUGGCUACAAACCUCCCAGUAUCUGACUAACCUUUAGCCAGCUCAGGAAGAGGAUAAGAAAAUGUGAAUGGGUAUACCUGCCAUUGCUUCCCAAUACUGUCAAGAAUCCGCCCAAAGAGGACAUACGUGGCUGUAUCUCUCCCGUGUCUGGAUAAUUUGGUCUGGGAUCAGCUAAAAGGGGGUUACAGCUCCAUACCUUCACUGCGAGCCUACAGCAGCAAUUAAGAGUUUGAAACUAAUUACCUUCAAGUACCUUACAUGACAGUGUGUUCCGUAAAUAGCUCAUGAAUUGCUUAAUUAAAGUUUUUAAUGCACAUUCUGCAUAGGCAAUUUUAGAGCAAAUAAUCCUUACCUAGCAUUCCUUAGAGAAGUGGACUACGAAUUAAUGCCAUUAUUAAGUAGACCCACUUCACAUAUUCCUUCAUCUUAUGCUCAUUUCUAGUCUCUCUAAAGUAAAAUGCAUCUGUAACAAAUUACGUUUUGAAUACAAUCAUUUAAAAAGCCAAAAUGAAUGACAGUUUCAAGAGGUCUGGAAGAAGAGUGGCAACUGCUCUUUACCACCCAUCUCUGGAAGCUGUAUCUAUUCACUUCGAUCUACAUCUGCCUCCCAUUUCUCAAGGAGACAUUCAGUAGGGAAAAAAAUGUAAGUAAACAAAUAUAAGCAAUGAAUUGUCCCUCCAGGCCAGUGCUUGAGUGCAGUAAUUAUCUGGUAUUUCAUAAUGAGGGCUGUUCCUGAGGUUACAUGCACAUUCCCAUUAAACACGAGAGGGAGGAAGAUAUAUAUUUAAAGUUAGCAUCAUAAAGCAUCAUCAAUAUGGCACUAACCUUAUCUUACGUGCCUUCUGCCACUGGGAUGUGUGUUUCGUUACACUGGACGUGAUUUUCCAGCUCAUUCUAAAGCAAGUGUCAUGGGGAGUCUGCAUUGCUGUGCUUUGGUUUUAAGAACGGCAUCGGUGUAAAAUCUAAGCAUGUCUGGUCCUGCAGAUAUUUAUGCUUGCCUGUAUAAGCACUGAUGAGUUAAUAUUUGUGCUAAUUGGAAAAACAAGAUCGAUGAGUAUUUCACGCGCUCCUAGACAGACCAAUUUUAAGAGAAAACUGAGCUGUGAUUGUAUGAGUAUCAGGGGAUCAGAAAUAGAUCAUCCACUCACUGUCACGCUGCGGGGACAGCAGCACAUCGCAUGGAGUUCCUUUACCAGCACUUCACAGCAGAAGCGUCACAAAUAGAUCUGCUGGGCCUGAAAGCGAAGCAGUUCACACUAAUUCCUCCACGACUUCAGUAGAUGGAAAUGCAAAACUGGGCUUCUAAAGCAGGAGGAGAAACCAAACAGAGCUGUCUGUCCGACCUGCACGCCCUCAGGCUGCAAAGGAGAACCAGGUGAAGGAAAAUGUAAUUCUGUGAAUCAAGGUCAUGAUGCCAUGGGCUGCUCCAUCACACUGGGCUGACGCUGCCCUGUGUGGGUUCCCAGGCUCUGUGGAACCAGCUCCUCAUUCCUACAUGCUGAUUUUCCUUCAGCCCUGAAUCCUGACUGAAGCAACAGCUCCUGUUAUCUUCCCCUUCCAUGCAACCUUCAGCCUUUGAGGUUCCCAGUCUUGGCUCACCCAGACUUGGAUUGCUGCCUCCUGGCUCUGGCCGGACACAACAGUUUUGGCACUAAUGCAGGCAAGGUAACAGGGAGGCACAGCCACUGCUAGAGCAAUAAAAGCAACCCAAGACUGAAAUGAAGGAAUGGACCAUUCAGUUUCCUCUGUUAUCCACGUUUGCCUGACAAUAAGCACUUUGCUCUCACUGCUGUAAAUGCUCGUGCACUUCAGCCACCUCACGCAAAGCAUUCCUGCCACCUGCACGACUCAUCCACGACUCAGGUGGAUGUAUGCAAACACACAUUUUGCAUACUUCUAAUUCUGCUUUGCUUUUGUAAGACCUACCACUGCUUCAAGCACAUCUGAUGUUUUGCAAGAUGCCACCUUUGCUAAAAGACAACUGUUUACACGGAGACUAAUUGAAAGAGACUGCUCACAAGGAUACAGAGCUAGUAUGUUUUAUGUCUUAACUCCAUCGAUCUCCCUCCACCUAUAUGGAGAAGAGAGGAGGCUGGACACCCAUCAGGAUAAUUUUCUAAACUGUGAAGCACAGAAGGAAGGAGGAGUCUGAGUCAGCUGUGUGUUGUAUUUAUCACUGUUCUUUUCCUUUUUAGCUAUAUUUUAAAAGCCAAUUUCAUAGCUCCCUUCCCUGCAUUCAGUAGCAGAGGAAAACCGUUCAGUUUCUCUACUGCCCACCUGUCAGUCGUUUUCAUUUAAUUGGAAAAGCUCUGGGAUGCAGCAAGGACACCCAGCUGCCUUUCUGCUGACCUGAGAACACAGCAUUUCCAUGUUUCACUUUCAGUCAGCUUUGAGUAUGUUAUCUCACAUCUUGCUGCUUUCAGUAAAGAUUUCACCUUGUUAACUCAGCUGCCUUGCUGUGUAAGAGCAGAGCAAUGGCUUCACCUUGCAACAGGGGCGAUGGCAAAGGCACAAAGGAAGAAGUAGGAGCCUGGAUCAGAGGAGAUAACUUGGAAGAAAUACUGGAAUAUCCUUCAUUCUUUCCAUCCUGAAGAAAUUUUGGUAAUGGAUGAACAAGUCCACCACUAACUAAGAGUGCCUGGGUUUUCUCAAAAAGAUCUAUGCAGAAACUGGCAAAAAAUAAUCAGCAAAAGAGAGAGAUGAAAUACAUGUUAAGAACGAAGAAGAAUAACGAUGGAACUUAAUUAUCUGCAACUGCAUUAGAAACAACAACUUAAUGCAACAACUGCAUUAA
Gallus gallus (chicken) is the source of this 11462-nucleotide long non-coding RNA. RefSeq lists it as uncharacterized. The transcript is spliced from 2 exons. The record is from RefSeq and is a predicted model, not a curated record. NCBI's taxonomy places the organism in Eukaryota, Metazoa, Chordata, Aves, Galliformes, Phasianidae.